Molecule: long non-coding RNA, 877 nt
Organism: Anneissia japonica
Lineage: Eukaryota; Metazoa; Echinodermata; Crinoidea; Comatulida; Comatulidae
Exons: 2
Source: RefSeq, a predicted model, not a curated record
UCAAUGAGAGAUGUUUGCACUAUGCAUGCAGCAUGCAUGCAGGGCCCAGGCCCGGGGUAAUUUAUCAAGUCAAUCAUCGUCAUCAGAUGCAUAGUCGUCACCAUCAUCCUCCAGCCAAGAAUGGGAACAUCUGCCAUGUGCGGAAUGCGAAUAAUGUAGGCAACGUGAGCAUUCGGUACAUUUAUUUUAUUAUUUCAAAUAAUGCAAAAAUAUUAAUACUGUACGUAUGCAACAUAAAAACCGUGAGCAAUUUAACUACUGAAAUAGACAACAUUCUAAAAUGCACUACAUACACAUUAAAUAAUAAUUAAAAACUAUGUAAAAUCCUCAAUUUAAACUAGUUUCAUACUGCUUUACUUAUUGUUAUUAAUGUGACAAAAAGCUUAAUCAAAAUUGGCAUUAAAAAUACUGUCUUAUACGAUUGCAAAUCAGUUUGUUUCUUGUAUCUCUAAGAGCAUAAAACAAAAAAAUAAAAUUAGAACGAAAAUUUUGCAAUACAGUAUAUACCGUAAUUGAUUUGAUAAACAUCCUGGAUGUUUCCUGAAAGACAAUGAUGGCAUGAGGAUGUACAUUCAGUCAAGAGGGCUGAUAGUUUCCAAUGGAAAACCAGUGGGGAUACAGGGGCGAACCCCUUGCAGUGUCCAGGGAGAAAAGCCCCAGGGUUUUACAGAAAGGCACAUUUGGUACAUCUUAGGCUGAUCUGAAGUGUUUUUGAGGUUAAUAUUGUGAAAGAAUUAAUAUCUUGUAAAUUGUUUUGGUCGAAGGAGUCAUGGCCUAUGGGGGGGGGGGGGGUUGGGUUUGAUUGGCCUGUCCAACAGGGGAUGAAGCCCCUGUAACCCUACUGUGUCCACCACUACCAAAAAAAAAAAAAAAAAAA